RNAcentral lists this ribosomal RNA (612 nucleotides) under uncultured Verrucomicrobiota bacterium. Its description in RNAcentral is "bacterial SSU rRNA". It matches the Rfam family "Bacterial small subunit ribosomal RNA", at positions 77 to 680 of the family's 1533-position model. The record is from RNAcentral. Lineage: Bacteria; Pseudomonadati; Verrucomicrobiota.
UAGCAAUACUAGGUUGAGCCAGUGGCGAACGGGUGCGUAACACGUGAGUCAUCUGCCUGAAAGUGGGGGAUAGCUCGCCGAAAGGCGAAUUAAUACCGCAUGUGCCCCGAAGCAAUUCGGGGUAAAGCCGGGGCAACCUGGCGCUUUUAGAUGAGCUCGCGGCCUAUCAGCUUGUUGGUAAGGUAACGGCUUACCAAGGCUUCGACGGGUAGCUGGUCUGAGAGGACGACCAGCCACACUGGAACUGAGACACGGUCCAGACACCUACGGGUGGCAGCAGUCGAGAAUUUUUCUCAAUGGGGGAAACCCUGAAGGAGCGACGCCGCGUGGAGGAUGAAGGCUUUCGGGUUGUAAACUCCUGUCAUUUGGGAACAAUACCUUACGUUAACUGCGUGGAGGUUUGAUAGUACCAGAAGAGGAAGAGACGGCUAACUCUGUGCCAGCAGCCGCGGUAAUACAGAGGUCUCGAGCGUUGUUCGGAUUCAUUGGGCGUAAGGGGCGCGUAGGCUGCGGGGCAAGUCGGGUGUGAAAUCUCAGAGCUCAACUCUGAAACUGCACUCGAUACUGCUUUGCUAGAGGACUGGAGAGGAGAUUGGAAUUCACGGUGUAGCA